This 1235-nucleotide ribosomal RNA is filed under the name metagenome. RNAcentral describes it as "SSU rRNA". It matches the Rfam family "Eukaryotic small subunit ribosomal RNA", at positions 558 to 1725 of the family's 1831-position model. The record is from RNAcentral.
AGUCUGGUGCCAGCAGCCGCGGUAAUUCCAGCUCCAAUAGCGUAUAUUAAAGUUGUUGCAGUUAAAAAGCUCGUAGUUGUAUUUCGAGGGAUUGAAUGUAAACAGUUCUUUAGCCAAACUUUGUCCGCCGAAAGGCGUGCACGAGGUUUUAGCGUCCCUUUUGUGCUCGUAACAUUUUCAGUUGAUCUUUUUUGAAAGAUUGAAGAUGGGGCAUGUUAAUUUUCUAAAGACCUCUGUUUCGUUUAUUCGGGGCAGAUUUUCAGGGAUUUAGAUAUUUUACUUUGAAUAAAUAAGAGUGUUCAAAGCAGGCGUUUUUUGCUUGAAUUCAUCAGCAUGGAAUAAUGGAAUAAGAUUUUGGUCUUAUUUUGUUGGUUUCUAGGACCAAAGUAAUGAUUAAUAGGGAUAGUUGGGGUCGUUUAUAUUAAAUUGUCAGAGGUGAAAUUCUUGGAUUUAUUUAAGAUAAACUACUGCGAAAGCAUUCGGCAAGGAUGUUUUCAUUAAUCAAGAACGAAAGUUAGAGGAUCGAAGAUGAUUAGAUACCGUCGUAGUUUUAACAGUAAACGAUGCCGUCCGCCGAUAAUGAGGAUUUGUUAUUUCAAGACUCUUGUUGCAGGCAGAGAGAAAUCAGAGAUUUUGGGUUCCGGGGGGAGUAUAGUCGCAAGAACGAAACUUAAAGGAAUUGACGGAAGGGCACCACCAGGAGUGGAGCCUGCGGCUUAAUUUGACCCAACACGGGAAACUUUACCAGGUCCGGACAUUAUGAGGAUUGACAGAUUGAAAGCUCUUUCUUGAUUUGAUGGUUGGUGGUGCAUGGCCGUUCUUAGUUGGUGGUGUGAACCGUCUGCUUAAUUGCGAUAACGAGCGAGACCUUCAUUUGCUAAAUAGUUACGCUCAGGUUUUCACUUGGGUGGACAACUUCUUAGAAAGACUAACGGAGUUUUAUCCGUGGGAAGCUGGAGGCAAUAACAGGUCUGUGAUGCCCUUAGAUGUUCUGGGCCGCACGCGCGCUACACUGAAAAUAUCAACAAGUUCUUUGGUGUUUUAUUUCGGUCNGGGUAAUCUUCUGAAUCUUCAUCGUGAUGGGGAUAGAUCAUUGCAAUUGUUGGUCUACAACGAGGAAUUCCUAGUAAGCGCGAGUCAUCAGCUCGCGUUGACUACGUCCCUGCCCUUUGUACACACCGCCCGUCGCUCCUACCGAUUGAGAAUUCAGGUGAAAUAUCGGGAUUUUUACUCUU